This 563-nucleotide ribosomal RNA is filed under the name uncultured archaeon. RNAcentral describes it as "bacterial SSU rRNA". It matches the Rfam family "Archaeal small subunit ribosomal RNA", at positions 313 to 879 of the family's 1478-position model. The record is from RNAcentral.
GCGAUUCGCCCUUCGGGGUGCCCAGGCGCGAAAACUUUGCAAUACACGAAAGUGUGACAGGGUCAUCCCGAGUGCCGACCGCUGAGGUUGGCUUUUACCCAGUCUAGAAAGCUGGGGGAAUAAGGAGAGGGCAAGUCUGGUGUCAGCCGCCGCGGUAAUACCAGCUCUCCGAGUGGUGUGGACGUUUAUUGGGCCUAAAGCAUCCGUAGCUGGCUGAACAAGUCCCCUGUUAAACCCACCGAUUUAAUCGUUGGUCUGCGGGGGAUACUGCUCGGCUAGGGGACGAGAGAGGCAGACGGUAUUCCCGGGGUAGGGGUGAAAUCCUAUAAUCCCGAGAAGACCACCAGUGGCGAAGGCUGUCUGCUAGAACGCGCCCGACGGUGAGGGAUGAAAGCUGGGGGAGCGAACCGGAUUAGAUACCCGGGUAGUCCCAGCUGUAAACGAUGCAGACUAGGUGUUUGGACGGCCACGUGCCGUUCUAGUGCCGCAGGGAAGCUGUUAAGUCUGCCGCCUGGGGAGUACGAUCGCAAGAUUGAAACUUAAAGGAAUUGGCGGGGGAGCAC